CAAUAGCGUAUAUUAAUGUUGUUGCAGUUAAAAAGCUCGUAGUUGGAUUCCUGACCUGGGGUAGCCGGUCCGCCUUGCAAAAGGUGCGCACUGAGCGGCCUCGGUCAUCCUUGAGAAGAGCGGUCCUGGCAUUCAGUUGUCGGGGUCGGGAUUCUUGACGUUUACUGUGAAAAAAUCAGAGUGUUCAACGCAGGCUUACGCCUUGAAUACAUUAGCAUGGAAUAAUGAGAUAGGACCUUGGCGGUCUAUUUUGUUGGUUUGCACGCCGAGGUAAUGAUUAAAAGGGACGGUUGGGGUUCUUCGUAUUCAAUUGUCAGAGGUGAAAUUCUUGGAUUUAUGGAAGACGAACUGCUGCGAAAGCGUCGAACAAGGACGUUCUCAUUAA
This 385-nucleotide ribosomal RNA is filed under the name uncultured eukaryote. RNAcentral describes it as "partial 18S ribosomal RNA". It matches the Rfam family "Eukaryotic small subunit ribosomal RNA", at positions 592 to 976 of the family's 1831-position model. The record is from RNAcentral.